Molecule: long non-coding RNA, 1807 nt
Organism: Carassius gibelio (silver crucian carp)
Lineage: Eukaryota; Metazoa; Chordata; Actinopteri; Cypriniformes; Cyprinidae
Exons: 2
Source: RefSeq, a predicted model, not a curated record
CAAAAUAAUAAAUAAUUACGUACACACAUUAAAAAAGCAGCCAAGAUGAAUGAGUUUAAUUUUUUAUAUAGAUUAAAAUUGAAGACAGAAGCAGCUGGUAUAUGCGGUCACUUAAUAUUAAAAUCCAGUAGAUCCACUUCAGAUUUAAUACUCAACAGUUUAUGUUCACGUGGCUGUUUUCGUUUAUAUUCGCCAAGCUAUUAUGUAUUUUGAAAUAAUCUUGUCCGUGCUGUGUUCGUUCUUACGACGAAAGGCAGAAUCCUGCAGCUCGAGAGAUAUAUGUUAUUUUGCCAGUCGCGCUUUCAAAUAGUCUUGCACACUUAAACGGGUCACAAACACCUGCAUUUAGCUCGUGUUGUGUUAUAAUGGAUGUAUUGUGUGCAUUUAUGGCAAUAAUUUAUUUUAAAAAGCUCUUAAACAAGAAUAAAUUCGUUAGUUUUGAACUUGUGACACUGUGCGCGCUGAUCGGAGGCAGUGAUUUCAGAUAGGCAGCCGCGAAUAUUUCAUUUUCACACAAACAGUUCAAAAACAUCUUAAUUUAGCUCUUGGUGUGCUCUAAUUGGUGAAUUGUGUGAUAUCGCUGCAAUACUUUAUUUUAAAUAGCUAUAAAACAAGAAUAAACUCGUUUUUUUCUGAGCUCAUCAUUCCACACGCUCCUGCUCAGAGCGGUGAUCUCUCUGGUGUUUCUCACGUAUCACUGACCACACAUCAAUUAUUAAUGAGCCCUGACCUGAUAAUAAUCAUAUAUGUUGGUUUAGCUUGUCAGUGUGAAUUAAAUCCAAGUAUUUAUUUGUAUUUUAACCGAUUUAAAAUCGAAACCAAAAGACAGUCUCCUCCCUUUUUUAGUCCGGUAACUGCACCUGUAGGGGCGCUAUUUCUCUCAGACAAUGGAAGUCUAAGCACACACACUCAAACAGAGGGACAGAGUGAUAUGAGAUGUCUGACAGUUUUUUAAUUUUCUGUUAUCCAUACAGUGUUGUAAAGUCAUGAAACUAUGCAUAUUUACUCAGAAUAACUUUUUUUCUGUAUGAAAAAAGGUUUUGAAGUGUUUGGAAUUUAAAAAUGCAGGAAAAUUAAUAAUUCCAUCUUUAUUGUCAUUUAAAAAAAAUCACCACAACAAAACCAUCCAAGCUAUCCAAAACCCAUUCACAAUUUAAGUUCCUCAAUGUUUUUUCAACAUGUACACCAAGUUUGGUGUGUAUAGUGUUACUCUCCUCUGAGCAGUAUGCAUUAAUUCACAGCUAAAUGUAAAAAACAAUCCACAUUCAAAUCAAAAUAGCCGACUUCCUGUUGGUCGUAGCUGAUGACUGUGAAUUAGAAAGUUGUCCGUCUUGAUAAGAAAAAUUUUUGUACCGAGUUUGGUGUCUGUAGCUAAAACUAACCCCCCCACUUUUGACAAAAGGUGGCGCUAUAGAGUGCCUCUUCCACGCCCUCUUAUGAACUUUUGCCAGUGUCUAGUUAUCAUAAAUACUGAUAUGUGUUCUGAGUUUGAUGAAAUUCUAAGCAUGUUAUAUGCCUCAAAAUCACCUGAGAAGUAGUCCAGUUUGACAUGUUGCCACGGCAACAAUAUUUUUAGAUAUCAAUAUCCCCCCAACAGAUUUAUAUCGGCUGUGUUUUAACAUUAUUCUGAUGAAGUUUGAAGCUAAUCGAGUAAAAAUAAGUUGCUGAAAUCAAAGCAUUUUGAAAAUGACACACUUCCUGCUGCCAGUUGGUGGCGCUAUAACUUUGACUCCUAAUAGUCACAUAUAUGCGAUCGACCUCAUACAAUGAAUAAUCUGAUGAAGUUUGAUUAAAAUCAGGAAAUGUA